AGAGGUGACGGCGGUGGUGGCACUGAUCUAACAGAGCUCGUGUGUCUCUCGUCUUUCAGAGUAACUCACUCAGUACGCGAAGAAACAGUCGUCUGUUCGGUUCCACUGUAAUCAUUGUUUCUCCUGUCUUGUUUAAAAUAUUAUUUCAAUUAUAUAUACACAUACAUACAUCAUCUAUCACCUAACAUUUCAUUAAUCAAUUGGGGUAAACGAAAAAAAAGCAAUGUCAUCAACGAAUAACAAGUGGACAAUGUUAAUAAGAUAAAACUUAAAAAAGGAAAUGAAAUAUCAUUACGAGUGACAUAAAUUUUGAAUGGCUUGCAAAAGGAAGCGUAAAAAGUUGAAGCAUCAUCCAGCAAAGUGUUAAAAAUACAUAAACCAACGAAUUAAUUAAUUAAUUGACGUAUCAAUUAUUCAAUAAUCAU
This is a long non-coding RNA of Polistes dominula (European paper wasp), 425 nucleotides long. The record is from RefSeq and is a predicted model, not a curated record. NCBI's taxonomy places the organism in Eukaryota, Metazoa, Arthropoda, Insecta, Hymenoptera, Vespidae.